UAGGGAAUCUUCCGCAAUGGGCGAAAGCUUGACGGAGCAACGCCGCGUGAGUGAUGAAGGUCCUCGGCUCGUAAAACUCUGUUAUUAGGGAAGAACAAAUGUGUAAGUAACUAUGCACGUCUUGACGGUACCUAAUCAGAAAGCCACGGCUAACUACGUGCCAGCAGCCGCGGUAAUACGUAGGUGGCAAGCGUUAUCCGGAAUUAUUGGGCGUAAAGCGCGCGUAGGCGGUUUUUUAAGUCUGAUGUGAAAGCCCACGGCUCAACCGUGGAGGGUCAUUGGAAACUGGAAAACUUGAGUGCAGAAGAGGAAAGUGGAAUUCCAUGUGUAGCGGUGAAAUGCGCAGAGAUAUGGAGGGACACCAGUGGCGAAAGCGACUUUCUGGUCUGUAACUGACGCUGAUGUGCGAAAGCGUGGGGAUCAAACAGG
Molecule: ribosomal RNA, 429 nt
Filed under: Actinomycetes bacterium
Lineage: Bacteria; Bacillati; Actinomycetota; Actinomycetes
Description: Actinobacteria bacterium partial 16S ribosomal RNA
Rfam family: Bacterial small subunit ribosomal RNA
Source: RNAcentral